AUGGACCAUCACUUCGGCUCCUCCCACGUGCACGCCGACGGCGAGCGCAGGGCCAAGGAGGAGGACGUCGUCGUCGUGCUCGCCGUCGACGACGAGGCGGCCGAGGCCGACGACCACCCGGGCGACGACGACGGCGGCGUCAACUACAUGGCCCGCGCGCAGUGGCUCCGCGCGGCGGUCCUCGGCGCCAACGACGGCCUCGUCUCCGUGGCGUCCCUCAUGAUCGGCGUCAGCGCCGUGAACGACGCCGGCAAGACGAUGCUCGUGUCGGGCCUCGCCGGGCUGGUGGCCGGCGCCUGCAGCAUGGCCAUCGGCGAGUUCGUGUCCGUGUACGCGCAGUACGACAUCGAGGUGGCCCAGAUCAAGCGCGACGGUGCCAAGGGCAAGAAGGAGAGCCUGCCGAGCCCGACGCUGGCCGCGCUCGCGUCGGCGCUGGCGUUCGCGGUGGGCGCGCUCCUGCCGCUGCUGGCCGGCGGGUUCGUGAGGACGUAUGGCGCCAGGGUCGGGGCGGUGUGCGCGGCGACCACCGUGGGCCUGGCCGGCUUCGGCGCGGCGGGCGGGUACCUGGGCGGCGCGAGCGUGGCCAGGUCGGGGUUCAGGGUCCUCCUUGGCGGGUGGGUCGCCAUGGCUGUCACGUACGGCGUGCUCUGGCUGUUCGCCAAGGUGUCCCACAUUCACGUCUCGUCAUUGGCGUGA
This 696-nucleotide ribosomal RNA is filed under the name Triticum aestivum (bread wheat). Its description in RNAcentral is "partial small subunit ribosomal RNA". The record is from RNAcentral. Lineage: Eukaryota; Viridiplantae; Streptophyta; Magnoliopsida; Poales; Poaceae.